RNAcentral lists this ribosomal RNA (292 nucleotides) under uncultured bacterium. Its description in RNAcentral is "partial 16S ribosomal RNA". The record is from RNAcentral.
GGACUACCGGGGUAUCUAAUCCUGUUUGCUCCCCACGCUUUCGCGCCUCAGUGUCAAUGUCGGUCCAGUGAGCCGCCUUCGCCACCGGUGUUCUUCCCAAUCUCUACGAAUUUCACCUCUACACUGGGAAUUCCACUCACCUCUACCGAAUUCUAGCGCCACAGUCUUGAAUGCAGUUCCAGGGUUGAGCCCUGGGAUUUCACAUCCAACUUGUGUCGCCACCUACGCGCCCUUUACGCCCAGUAAUUCCGAACAACGCUAGCUCCCUUCGUAUUACCGCGGCUGCUGGCAC